GACGAACGCUGGCGGUGUGCUUAACACAUGCAAGUCGAACGGUAAGGCCCUUUCGGGGGUCCACGAGUGGCGAACGGGUGAGUAACACGUGAGUAACCUGCCCUCAUCUCUGGGAUAACAGUCGGAAACGGUUGCUAAUACUGGAUAUGAGCUUGCAAGGCAUCUUGUGGGUUGGAAAGAUUUUUUUUGGUUGGGGAUGGACUCGCGGCGUAUCAGCUUGUUGGUGAGGUAGUGGCUCACCAAGGCUUCGGCGGGUAGCCGGCCUGAGAGGGCGACCGGCCACAUUGGGACUGAGAUACGGCCCAAACUCCUACGGGAGGCAGCAGUGGGGAAUAUUGCACAAUGGACGGAAGUCUGAUGCAGCAACGCCGCGUGCGGGAUGACGGCCUUCGGGUUGUAAACCGCUUUCAAUUGUGACGAAGCUUUUUUGUGACGGUAGCAGUAGAAGAAGCACCGGCUAACUACGUG
RNAcentral lists this ribosomal RNA (468 nucleotides) under uncultured bacterium. Its description in RNAcentral is "partial 16S ribosomal RNA". It matches the Rfam family "Bacterial small subunit ribosomal RNA", at positions 28 to 507 of the family's 1533-position model. The record is from RNAcentral.